GUAAGGAGAAGUCCGGACGCAGAUUGUGGAGCUGACUACGGGGAGGCCUGAGUCCCUCCACAGCCACUUCCCAUCAACCAGUCCCUCCCCUCUCUCAGGAUGUCCAAUGGGCACUCUCACCAUUUCUAGGCUUCUAAGGGGUCCCGGCAUCUUGGCUGUGGAUCUCCCAAUACCUACAGGACACAGGGCCACAGAGGGUGGGCCUCUAGGAGCAGAGGACACAGAGUAGCGAAGAGGCGACCUAGAGCUCCAGAUGCAGCGAGAGACAAAGGCCGCGCCAAACCCGGAAGCCGUCCUCUUUGCUCCAGCUGCCUGCCUGAUUGGACGGUUUCCAGCCCAGCGUCUCUGAUUGGAUAAUGCUUAAGGCCCCGCCCACUCAGUCCCUGAGUGACAGAGGAUGUGAUCAGAU
This 409-nucleotide long non-coding RNA is filed under the name Homo sapiens (human). RNAcentral describes it as "HSALNT0257028". Lineage: Eukaryota; Metazoa; Chordata; Mammalia; Primates; Hominidae. The record is from RNAcentral.